RNAcentral lists this long non-coding RNA (462 nucleotides) under Coffea arabica (coffee). RNAcentral's name for it is "long non-coding RNA (CARA_LNC006096)". The record is from RNAcentral. Lineage: Eukaryota; Viridiplantae; Streptophyta; Magnoliopsida; Gentianales; Rubiaceae.
ACAAACUUUAUAAGGAAUGAAGUUUCAAAUAAUAUUCUCUUGCCAUUGCUUUGGCAAUUAAGUUGGUUGACAAAUUAUUUUGCAAUGACAAUUGCUUUUGCUAGCCGUAUAAGGAGCACAAUGACAAUCACGAAGCAAAUAAAGGAACGGUGGGAAAAUCUCUUUCCCUAUAUUAAAACAGUCUUGAUCGCCCGUUGUUCCGCACCCACCGUCUUUCUUGAAUUCAGUUGGGCAAAAUUGCCCACUCCCUAUCAUAGGCAAGAAGGGAUAAAGAACAUUAGAAUAAGAUUUACGAUAUAUUUAACUAAAGAGGGAGAAUGAUAUUCCUACCAAUAGAUUGUGUAGAAGGCAUGACUUGGCUCGGUAGAAUUGCCAAAUGCAGAAGUAAAAACAUAGUUCCAAGAUUUAUGGCAGUUGAUUUUGCCAUUGAGACAAAAUUGUUGUAGAAAUGACAGCCGAUUC